Hyla sarda is the source of this 252-nucleotide long non-coding RNA. RefSeq lists it as uncharacterized. NCBI's taxonomy places the organism in Eukaryota, Metazoa, Chordata, Amphibia, Anura, Hylidae. The record is from RefSeq and is a predicted model, not a curated record. The transcript is spliced from 3 exons.
UACAGGUUAAAGCUGGAGCCCUAGCAGAGAGAGCCUUUAUGAUCUGUCUGUUGUCAAGAAACCUUUCUUACAAGAUCUCAGUGUAACUGAGUAAUGGCUAUUAGUAGUAUUAUGUUGUGGUGCAGAACACUGGCUCUCUUCCUUGUAGGCAGCCUUAUCACAGAGAACAGACUCCAUACCUAGAAUCCAAUGACCACACUGAGAGAACCACCUGUCCCAUGCUCAGUGCCCAAUGUUUUCUUUCUCCUUUGU